Lolium rigidum is the source of this 1862-nucleotide long non-coding RNA. RefSeq lists it as uncharacterized. The record is from RefSeq and is a predicted model, not a curated record. Lineage: Eukaryota; Viridiplantae; Streptophyta; Magnoliopsida; Poales; Poaceae. The transcript has 5 exons.
GGGUCCUGGAUAUGUUUUGGGUGGUCGCGUGCGUAAGGCCAGGCCCACCACGGACGCCACUGUUCAGGACCUCGUCGACAUCGGCAUCCAAAGCGCCUGCAGGAAUGGCUUCCCUGGCUGCUUGCGCCAUCGGUCUCGCGAGUUCCCCUGCGAUGUCAAGACGACACUAUCUUGCUGCUAAGCCUUGGACGACUAGGACUUCCUCCUGCAGAACUGGCAUCACCAUCGAGUAUGGCAGGGUCGACAUAAUAUCCACCCCUGGUGCUUUGGUUACAUGCGACCAAAGAAGCCGAGCUGCCUUUCGUCGCUAGUUGUUUGGAUUAUCGCUGUCAAGGAUUGUGCUAAAGGCUGUUGGAUAUUAUCGAAAAGACCUACCGAAACAGCUUUGUAACGUUAACUUGAUGUUAUUUCUUGGGUAAUACCUGCUGACCAAAGAUUGGAUGGGACUAUUAACUGCAUAACCAGAGAAGGAAAAUGAACAUUUGAUGUUUCUGGAUUAACUAAUGGCAAGUAUUUGCCCGAUGGGAAAGAAAAUUACCAUCUUGAACUCCGUAAACUUGAACUGCCGUAACAGUUAAUUCCUGAGGUUACAAUGAAUGGUUCUUUCAGAACGCUUAAUUGGAAUGUAGCCCUGCAGCAUGGUUCAGUUCCACCAAGGUUUGUUUGAUAUGCAAUGUUAGGCUUUACGCUUUUGUGUCUGUGAAAAGUAACUACUUUUGUUCACGAGUUCAUUUUGCAAAUCCGAUAUUAUUGGCAACAUGCUCCCACUUCUGUGCUAUUUAUAUUCCAUGGGGUUCCAAGUGUUGGUGUCUUUCUCUCAUGUUUUAGUUGGAUGGGAUCUCUUUCAUAUGCCAUCAAUAUGUUUACUUCUUUGUGCUAGUAGAUUUUUCAAUACACUAUACUCAUGGAGCUGUAGCUUCUAUGAAAUAUUGGGUUCUGGUUGUGGUAGUGUUGCUGUUGUGCUGGCCGCAGCCAUUCCUCAUCUUCGACCUCUUCAGUUGAGUUCCUAGUUCAUCCCUCUGCAGUGUGCAUGUCCUGCUGGAAAAUUCAGUUCAAUUGUUGGUUUUACUGGUAUGGCUAGCCCAUUCUCCAUUGUGUUAGAUUUCAAAAAAGAAGUACAAAGAGGCAUGCACAUCAAUAUCUAGCUGAUUGAGAUCAACUUGUCCCGAAAUGAAUUCUGGAGCAGUCCAAAUUAGGAUAACUGUAAUACCAAUCAAUUGUCACUCCUAGAUCAUGGAAUGAGCAUAAUAUGUACAGGAGUGGUGCUCUUUGUUUGACUCGCCGUCACUCUCAAAUAGAUUGAUAGGUACACACAUGUAUUGGUUGUAACCCUAAAAAGAUGCUUUUUUUCUAUUGAGGCAUGCAUGUUGUGUGAAGCGGUUGUUGUGGCCAGUCUCUGUUUCCUGAAUGGUUUUGAUUGCUAUUGGCUUGAUUGAUCAGUUAGGCAUCAAUCAAAGCCUGGACGUAGAAAUGUUGCAUGUGUGUGUGUGGUGCUACUAGGUACUAAGCUAAUUGUCUGAAUCCCUUCUGCAUAUAAAACUACAUGGGCUUCUGUAAUUUGUGUUGCUUGACCCCUAAGCAUGGUCACUCAACUACUAGAGUUUAUGUGGCGAUGAUUUUCUUGCUUCCCCAGAUGCUAGCUACUUCUUGGCUAAGGAAUUAUAUAAGAAUAUAUCCUAUCUACCAUUCAGUUAUGGUUGUAGAACUGAUAGGAACAUAAUAAAUGCUGCACUUGAUUGGGUAGUUUCUUAAAGUUCAAUGGUAUCAUUUUCCUUAGUCGAUAUUCUGUAGAUAUUGUCCCUGCUUGCUAUCUUUUAGCAACUCAUCCAGCUUUUAACUCUUGACACUUGCUAACUUAUUGC